UCCCUAUCUGCCGUGGGCGUUGGAAGAUUGAAGGGGGCUGCUCCUAGUACGAGAGGACCGGAGUGGACGAACCUCUGGUGUUCGGGUUGUGUCGCCAGACGCAUUGCCCGGUAGCUAAGUUCGGAAUUGAUAACCGCUGAAAGCAUCUAAGCGGGAAGCGAGCCCUGAGAUGAGUCUUCCCUGACAGUUUAACUGUCCUAAAGGGUUGUUCGAGACUAGAACGUUGAUAGGCAGGGUGUGUAAGCGCUGUGAGGCGUUGAGCUAACCUGUACUAAUUGCCCGUGAGGCUUAACCAUACAACACCCAAAGGGUUUUG
This 316-nucleotide ribosomal RNA is filed under the name Vibrio navarrensis. RNAcentral's name for it is "partial 23S ribosomal RNA". It matches the Rfam family "Bacterial large subunit ribosomal RNA", at positions 2635 to 2925 of the family's 2925-position model. The record is from RNAcentral. Lineage: Bacteria; Pseudomonadati; Pseudomonadota; Gammaproteobacteria; Vibrionales; Vibrionaceae.